Molecule: small nucleolar RNA, 212 nt
Filed under: Microcebus murinus (gray mouse lemur)
Lineage: Eukaryota; Metazoa; Chordata; Mammalia; Primates; Cheirogaleidae
Description: Small nucleolar RNA U3 (ENSMICG00000019375.3)
Rfam family: Small nucleolar RNA U3
About the family: Small nucleolar RNAs (snoRNAs) are involved in the processing and modification of rRNA in the nucleolus. There are two main classes of snoRNAs: the box C/D class, and the box H/ACA class.
Source: Rfam by way of RNAcentral
AAGACUAUAUUUUCAGGGAUCAUUCCUGAAGUGUGUUACUGAAGUUUCUCUGAAUGUGUAGGGUACCAGAAACCACAAGGAGGAGGCACAGCCUUCUCUCCUGAGCAUGAAGCCAGCUCUGGGUAUUAUUUCACUGCAACUGCCAUUUGCCAUUGAUACUCAUUUUUCUCUCAUUCUGGAGAGUAACAGGAAGAGAAUAUAAUCUGAGUGGU